CAACCAUCGUGACGUUGUUUGGGAUAGGGAGGAAUAACGGAUUCAUUUUUCUUUAGUUGAAGAUACUCACCAUUGAUUCCCAGAAGAUUUGGUCCAUUUCUUGCUGUUUCCAAAGCUAGUUGAAGAUACUCACCAUUGAUUCCCGGAAGAUUUGGUCCAAUAUUCGUUGGUUUCAAUAGCCACUUUUAGAGGUUGUACAG
Calliphora vicina (urban bluebottle blowfly) is the source of this 200-nucleotide long non-coding RNA. RefSeq lists it as uncharacterized. The transcript has 3 exons. Lineage: Eukaryota; Metazoa; Arthropoda; Insecta; Diptera; Calliphoridae. The record is from RefSeq and is a predicted model, not a curated record.